AACCUGCGGAGGGAUCAUUACCGAGUUUACAACUCCCAAACCCAAUGUGAACGUUACCAAACUGUUGCCUCGGCGGGGUCACGCCCCGGGUGCGUCGCAGCCCCGGAACCAGGCGCCCGCCGGAGGAACCAACCAAACUCUUUCUGUAGUCCCCUCGCGGACGUAUUUCUUACAGCUCUGAGCAAAAAUUCAAAAUGAAUCAAAACUUUCAACAACGGAUCUCUUGGUUCUGGCAUCGAUGAAGAACGCAGCGAAAUGCGAUAAGUAAUGUGAAUUGCAGAAUUCAGUGAAUCAUCGAAUCUUUGAACGCACAUUGCGCCCGCCAGUAUUCUGGCGGGCAUGCCUGUCCGAGCGUCAUUUCAACCCUCGAACCCCUCCGGGGGAUCGGCGUUGGGGAUCGGGACCCCUCACACGGGUGCCGGCCCCGAAAUACAGUGGCGGUCUCGCCGCAGCCUCUCCUGCGCAGUAGUUUGCACAACUCGCACCGGGAGCGCGGCGCGUCCACGUCCGUAAAACACCCAACUUCUGAAAUGUGACCUCGAUC
Molecule: ribosomal RNA, 544 nt
Filed under: Trichoderma asperellum
Lineage: Eukaryota; Fungi; Ascomycota; Sordariomycetes; Hypocreales; Hypocreaceae
Description: eukaryotic LSU rRNA
Rfam family: 5.8S ribosomal RNA (bases 204-357)
Source: RNAcentral